GAAAUGAGAACAUUAUAAACUGUCUCAAACUUAAAUAUUUAAUCCUCAUCCAAUAGAAAUGGAGGAGGUUGUAUCAAACAGAUUCAGAAAUUAGACUCACAGUAGCAGGGAAGUCAAGACGUUUCACUUUUUGUAACUGAUAAGGGUUAAUUACUACAAUAAGUAACGGUGGAACGGAUGAGUGAUAUGGAAAACGAGCAGUUGAGAGUGAAUGAAACGUAGAUGGAGAGAAGCCAUAAAAAAGUAAAGAAUUCAAGCUGUACUUACAUGAACCUAAUAAAUAAAUGGGAUGAGCCAGAGAUUCCUGGAUCACUGGUUUUGUCAAAACUAAAUAUUUGUAAGUUAUAUAUGCUAAGGUCAUAUGAGAAGGAGAUAAGUACUGUAUACCAUGCGAGGAACAGAGUUGUACUUAGGUCAUAGGAGGAGGACAUAAGUACUGUAUACCAUGUGAGGAACAGAGGUGUACUUAGGUCAGAGGAGGAGAUAAGUACUGUAUAUCAUGUGAGGAACAGAGUUGUACUUAGGUCAUAGGAGGAGGACAUAAGUACUGUAUACCAUGUGAGGAACAGAGGUGUACUUAGGUCAUAGGAGGAGAUAAGUAUUGUAUACCAUGUGAGGGACAGAGGAGUAUUUAGGUCAUAGGAGGAGAUAAGUACUGUAUACCAUGUGAGGGACAGAGAUGUACUUAGGCCAUAGGAGGAGGAGAUAAGUAAUGUGUACCACGUGAGGGACAGAGAGUACUUAGGUCAUAGGAGGAGGAGAUAAGUACUGUAUACCAUGUGAGGGACAGAGGAGUACUUAGGUCAAAGGAGGAGCAAAUCAGGACUGUAUACCAUGUGAGGGACAGAGGAGUUCUUACAUAAUAGGUGGAGGAGAUAAGUACUGUAUACCAUGUGAGGGACAGAGGUGUACUUAGGUCAUAGGAGGAGGAGAUACGUAUUGUAUACCAUGUGAGGGACAGAGGCGUACUUAGGUCAUAGGAGGAGGAGAUACGUAUUGUAUACCAUGCGAGGAACAGAGUUGUACUUAGGUCAUAGGAGGAGAUAAGUACUGUAUACCAUGUGAGGAACAGAGGAGUACUUAGGUCAAAAGAGGAGCAAAUCAGGACUGUAUACCAUGUGAGGGACAGAGGAGUUAUUACAUCAAAGGUGGAGGAGAUAAGUACUGUAUAUCAUAUGAGGAACAGAGUUGUACUUAGGUCAUAGGAGGAGAUGAUAAGUACUGUAUAUCAUGUGAGGGACAUUGAGUACUUAGGUCACAGGAGGAGGAGAUAAGUACUGUAUACCAUGUGAGGGACAGAGGAGUACGUAGGUCAUAGGAGGAGGAGAUAAGUAUUUUAUACCAUGUGAGGGACAGAGGAGUACUGUACUUAGGUCAUAGGUGGAGGAGAUAAGGAUUGUAUAUCAUGUGAGGGACAGAGGAGUUUGUAGGUCAUAGGAGGAGGAGAUGAUAAGUACUGUAUACCAUGUGAGGGACAGAGGAGUACGUAGGUCAUAGGAGGAGGAGAUAAGUACUGUAUACCAUGUGAGGGGCAGAGGAGUACUUAGGUCAUAGGAGGAGGAGGAGAUAAGUACUGUAUAUCAUGUGAGAAAAAGAGGUGUACUUAGGUCAUAGGAGGAGGAGAUAAGUACUGUAUAUCAUGUGAGGGACAGGAGUAGGUAGGUCAUAGGAGGAGGAGAUAAGUACUGUAUAUCAUGUUAGGGACAGAGGUGUACUUAGGUCAUAGGAGGAGGAGAUCAGCACUGUAUAUCAUGUGAGGGACAGAGGUGUACUUAGGUCAUAGGAGGAGGAGAUAAGUACUGUAUACCAUGUGAGGGACAGUGGUGUACUUAGGUCAUAGGAGGAGGAGAUAAGGACUGUAUAUACCAUGUGAGGGACAGAGGAGAACUUCGGUCAUAGGAGGAGGAGAUAAGUACUGUAUACCAUGCGAGGAACAGAGUUGUACUUAGGUCAUAGGAGGAGAUAAGUACUGUAUACCAUGUGAGGAACAGAGUUGUACUUAGGUCAUAGGAGGAGAUAAGUACUGUAUACCAUAUGAGGGACAGAGGAGUACUUAGGUCAAAGGAGGAGGAGAUAAGUAUUGUAUACCAUGUGAGGGACAUAGGUGUACUUAGGUCAUAGGAGGAGGAGAUACGUAUUGUAUACCAUGUGAGGGACAGAGGUGUACUUAGGACAUAGGAGGAGGAGAUACGUAUUGUAUACCAUGCGAGGAACAGAGUUGUACUUAGGUCAUAGGAGGAGAUAAGUACUGUAUACCAUGUGAGGAACAGAGUUGUACUUAGGUCAUAGGAGGAGAUAAGUACUGUAUACCAUGUGAGGGACAGAGGAGUACUUAGGUCAAAGGAGGUGCAAAUCAGGACUGUAUACCAUGUGAGGGACAGAGGAGUUCUUACAUCAUAGGUGGAGGAGAUAAGUACUGUAUACCAUGUGAGAGACAGAGUUGUACUUGGGUCAUAGAAGGAGAAGAUAAGUACUGUAUAUCAUGUGAGGGACAGAGAGUACUUAGGUCAUAGGAGGAGGAGAUAAGUACUGUAUAACAUGUGAGGACCAGAGGAGUACUUCAGUCACAGGAGAUAAGUACUGUAUACCAUGUGAGGGACAGAGGAGUACUUAGGUCAAAGGAGGUGCAAAUCAGGACUGUAUACCAUGUGAGGGACAGAGGAGUUCUUACAUCAUAGGUGGAGGAGAUAAGUACUGUAUACCAUGUGAGGGACAGAGUUGUACUUGGGUCAUAGGAGGAGAAGAUAAGUACUGUAUAUCAUGUGAGGAACAGAGUUGUACUUAGGUCAUAGGAGGAGGAGAUAAGUACUGUAUACCAUGUGAGGAACAGAGGUGUACUUAGGUCAAAGGAGGAGCAAAUCAGGACUGUAUACCAUGUGAGGGAAAGAGGAGUACGUAUGUCAUAGGAGGAGGAGAUAAGUAUUUUAUACCAUGUGAGGGACAGAGGAGUACUUCAGUCACAGGAGAUAAGUACUGUAUACCAUGUGAGGAACAUAGGAGUACUUAGGUCAUAGGUGGAGGAGAUAAGUACUGUAUACCAUGUGAGGGACAGAGGAGUACUUAGGUCAAAGGAGGAGCAAAUCAGGACUGUAUACCAUGUGAGGGACAGAGGAGAUCUUACAUCAUAGGUGGAGGAGAUAAGUACUGUAUACCAUGUGAGGGACAGAGUUGUACUUAGGUCAUAGGUGGAGGAGAUAAGGAUUGUAUAUCAUGUGAGGGACAGAGGAGUAUGUAGGUCAUAGGAGGAGGAGAUGAUAAGUACUGUAUAUCAUGUGAGGGACAGAGGAGUACGUAGGUCAUAGGAGGAAGAGAUAAGUACUGUAUUCCAUGUGAG
Bombina bombina (fire-bellied toad) is the source of this 3334-nucleotide long non-coding RNA. RefSeq lists it as uncharacterized. The record is from RefSeq and is a predicted model, not a curated record. Lineage: Eukaryota; Metazoa; Chordata; Amphibia; Anura; Bombinatoridae. The transcript is spliced from 2 exons.